GUCGAACGCUGAAGCCUGGUGCUUGCACCGGGUGGAUGAGUGGCGAACGGGUGAGUAACACGUGAGUAACCUGCCCCUGACUUCGGGAUAAGCCCGGGAAACUGGGUCUAAUACCGGAUACGACUGCCGGACGCAUGUCUGGUGGUGGAAAGUUUUUUCGGUUGGGGAUGGGCUCGCGGCCUAUCAGUUUGUUGGUGAGGUAAUGGCUCACCAAGACGACGACGGGUAGCCGGCCUGAGAGGGCGACCGGCCACACUGGGACUGAGACACGGCCCAGACUCCUACGGGAGGCAGCAGUGGGGAAUAUUGCACAAUGGGGGAAACCCUGAUGCAGCGACGCAGCGUGCGGGAUGACGGCCUUCGGGUUGUAAACCGCUUUCAGCAGGGAAGAAGCGCAAGUGACGGUACCUGCAGAAGAAGUACCGGCUAACUACGUGCCAGCAGCCGCGGUAAUACGUAGGGUACGAGCGUUGUCCGGAAUUAUUGGGCGUAAAGAGCUCGUAGGUGGUUGGUCACGUCUGCUGUGGAAACGCAACGCUUAACGUUGCGCGUGCAGUGGGUACGGGCUGACUAGAGUGCAGUAGGGGAGUCUGGAAUUCCUGGUGUAGCGGUGAAAUGCGCAGAUAUCAGGAGGAACACCGGUGGCGAAGGCGGGACUCUGGGCUGUAACUGACACUGAGGAGCGAAAGCAUGGGGAGCGAACAGGAUUAGAUACCCUGGUAGUCCAUGCCGUAAACGUUGGGCACUAGGUGUGGGGGGCAUUCCACGUUCUCCGCGCCGUAGCUAACGCAUUAAGUGCCCCGCCUGGGGAGUACGGUCGCAAGGCUAAAACUCAAAGGAAUUGACCGGGGGCCCGCACAAGCGGCGGAGCAUGCGGAUUAAUUCGAUGCAACGCGAAGAACCUUUACCAAGGCUUGACAUAC
RNAcentral lists this ribosomal RNA (923 nucleotides) under Brevibacterium sp. RNAcentral describes it as "bacterial SSU rRNA". It matches the Rfam family "Bacterial small subunit ribosomal RNA", at positions 61 to 989 of the family's 1533-position model. The record is from RNAcentral. Lineage: Bacteria; Bacillati; Actinomycetota; Actinomycetes; Micrococcales; Brevibacteriaceae.